GGAGAGAUGUCCGAGCUGGCUGAAGGAGCAUGAUUGGAAAUCAUGUAUACGGUGAACACCGUAUCAGGGGUUCGAAUCCCCUUCUCUCCGCCA
RNAcentral lists this transfer RNA (93 nucleotides) under Ruminococcus bromii. RNAcentral describes it as "tRNA-Ser". It matches the Rfam family "tRNA". From Rfam's summary of the family: Transfer RNA (tRNA) molecules are approximately 80 nucleotides in length. Lineage: Bacteria; Bacillati; Bacillota; Clostridia; Eubacteriales; Oscillospiraceae. The record is from RNAcentral.